UUUCAUAAACAUGGCUUAUCUAUGUCUAAAUUGACAGGGCAAGGGUAUGAUGGAGAUUCUAACAUGAGAGGGAAAUUUCAUGGGUUGCAACGGUUGAUACUAGAUGAAAAUCCUUAUGCAUUGUAUAUUCAUUGCUUUGCCCAUCAAUUACAAUUAGUGGUUGUUGCUGUUGCUAAGUGUUGUUCCUCUGUAUUGGAUUUUUUUAACCACACAACUUUGAUUGUCAACACUGUCAAUGCUUCUUGUAAGAGACAUGAUGAACUAGCCCAACAACAUCAUGACACUAUUGUGAGCCAGUUGGAGUCUGGAGAAAUUUUUUCAGGAAGAGGGAAAAACCAAGCAACCAACCUUGUAAGACCCGGGAAUAUACGGUGGGGCACACAUCAUAAAACUUUGUGUCGAUUUAUUAUGAUGUGGACAUCUGUUUUGCAAGUAUUAGAGAAC
Molecule: ribosomal RNA, 444 nt
Filed under: Triticum aestivum (bread wheat)
Lineage: Eukaryota; Viridiplantae; Streptophyta; Magnoliopsida; Poales; Poaceae
Description: partial small subunit ribosomal RNA
Source: RNAcentral